GCUGAGCAUCCAGCCUUGCUGGGUGUGGAUGAGUGGCGAACGGGUGAGUAACACGUGAGUAACCUGCCCCUGACUUCGGGAUAAGCCUGGGAAACUGGGUCUAAUACCGGAUAUGACUACUGGCCGCAUGGUCUGGUGGUGGAAAGGGUUUUACUGGUUGGGGAUGGACUCGCGGCCUAUCAGUUUGUUGGUGGGGUAGUGGCCUACCAAGACGACGACGGGUAGCCGGCCUGAGAGGGCGACCGGCCACACUGGGACUGAGACACGGCCCAGACUCCUACGGGAGGCAGCAGUGGGGAAUAUUGCACAAUGGGGGGAACCCUGAUGCAGCGACGCCGCGUGCGGGAUGACGGCCUUCGGGUUGUAAACCGCUUUCAGUAGGGAAGAAGCGAAAGUGACGGUACCUGCAGAAGAAGUACCGGCUAACUACGUGCCAGCAGCCGCGGUAAUACGUAGGGUACAAGCGUUGUCCGGAAUUAUUGGGCGUAAAGAGCUCGUAGGUGGUUGGUCACGUCUGCUGUGGAAACGCAAUGCUUAACGUUGCGCGUGCAGUGGGUACGGGCUGACUAGAGUGCAGUAG
Molecule: ribosomal RNA, 580 nt
Filed under: Actinomycetales bacterium PGOR100
Lineage: Bacteria; Bacillati; Actinomycetota; Actinomycetes; Actinomycetales
Description: bacterial SSU rRNA
Rfam family: Bacterial small subunit ribosomal RNA
Source: RNAcentral